GUACGAGCGCAACCCUUGUCCUUAGUUACCAGCACGUUAUGGUGGGCACUCUAAGGAGACUGCCGGUGGACAAACCGGAGGAAGGUGGGGAUGACGUCAAGUCAUCAUGGCCCUUACGGCCUGGGCUACACACGUGCUACAAUGGUCGGUACAAAGGGUUGCCAAGCCGCGAGGUGGAGCUAAUCCCAUAAAACCGAUCGUAGUCCGGAUCGCAGUCUGCAACUCGACUGCGUGAAGUCGGAAUCGCUAGUAAUCGUGAAUCAGAAUGUCACGGUGAAUACGUUCCCGGGCCUU
RNAcentral lists this ribosomal RNA (294 nucleotides) under uncultured Pseudomonas sp. RNAcentral describes it as "partial 16S ribosomal RNA". It matches the Rfam family "Bacterial small subunit ribosomal RNA", at positions 1090 to 1382 of the family's 1533-position model. Lineage: Bacteria; Pseudomonadati; Pseudomonadota; Gammaproteobacteria; Pseudomonadales; Pseudomonadaceae. The record is from RNAcentral.